AGAAGAGUGUUACUUCGGUAGAGAUUAGUCUGAAACACUAAACAAGUGGGUUCAAAUCCCACCUCUUCCA
This 70-nucleotide transfer RNA is filed under the name marine bacterium AO1-C. It matches the Rfam family "tRNA". From Rfam's summary of the family: Transfer RNA (tRNA) molecules are approximately 80 nucleotides in length. Lineage: Bacteria; Pseudomonadati; Bacteroidota; Cytophagia; Cytophagales; Cytophagaceae. The record is from Rfam by way of RNAcentral.